UUCAUCUUUAAUCUCGUCAUAUAUUCUGUCUUUUAGCUGAUUUGGACUUUUUGAGAAGUCUUUAAUAUUAUCUUAACUUUUACCUGAAUGUUGUACUUUUCAUUCUUAUCCUUUGCGAUGGCUAUUAUUAUGAUAUGUUCAUCAACUAACAUAAUGAUCCCUUUGACUUGUCUGUGUUUUCUUUCUAGCCCAUCCUUCCCUCUCGCUUAGCUGAGUAUCAGAGGCUCAGAUGUCGGGUAGCAUUUCAUGCACUUCGUUCCCGCUCAAGAAUUUUGGCACUAGGACACCUAAUGGUGGAAAGGUUACGAGCUUUAGGCCAACCUUACCUUGCUUUCAAUCCUGGCGUUGUGAGAGAUACCUUGGCAUAUCAUGGCUGCGCUGAACUUUUUCAGAUAAAGCUUGAUUACUAGCGGAAGCCAAUGCUGCGGAAGAAGCUCAAAGGAAAGCAGAAGUGGAAGCCAAAGCUGAAGCCAAAAGGAAGAGAGAAGCAGCACACCUGGCUCUGUAAAAGGUAAACUAGAACCAAUCAUACUGCAAAAGCAGAAGCUAGUCGCAAAAUGCGACCUUCCUUGUGGAAGCCUAAUAAAUGUAUCUGAAAUUUUAAUUUGCUCAAACUGAUGGGAUGAAGAACCCUUUGGCCAUGAUUUGCUCAAACUAAUUGCGUUUCCUCUUGGUCAUGAUUUCAUUUGGACCAUUAGAAACUGAAACAUGUAUUACUUGUACCAGUUCAUGCAUUUGGAUGUUCUGGAACUUGAACGUGAACACUUUUUUUUUAAUGCUUUGCUUGAUAUCAGUGAUUCAAGAUGAUUGGAUUGGGCUUUCAUAGAAUUGGCUAGGCUAGAUAGACUGAGUGAAUGUGUUCAGGCAACUAGAAUGGCUUUCUACUCUUCAUGCACCGUUAAGCUCACUGCCUUGUUGGCUAAACAUUUUGAUUACAUUCAUUGGUCUUUCUGCUUUUCAUGCACCGUUACACUCUGCAAGUUUUUCUAGAGAUAAGUGAAAGCCGUGGAAUAAUAGCUGGGACUAAUUUUUAAAGUUGAUGCUUUUAUUUAAAAGUAGCCUUAAAAAAAUGACCGAAAGUAAUAGCUAGGAUGCUGAAGUUGGUGUAUAAGUAUUGGAAUUAAUGUUCAAACCAUGAAAUGCUAUUAUACUAGGUUAAUGUUAUUAUAGAUCCAUCUUAGGAAUGGUGUUUGAUUACUGAAGGUUGUUUUCAUAAUGGAAGUUUAUGGUUAUUAUGCAUGUGGUGGCUUUGACAUUGUUGAAUAGUAAUUUUGGAUAGUUGAAAACUCGCUAUUAUGUUGCAUUGUGUUUUUAGGCACGGCCUAUUCCUAGUAGUGUGAUAUGUUUGAUGCAUGUGUCAUGUAUCUUAAAACUUACUGAUUAUAUAGGAUGUUGUGGACUAUAUACACACGCACAUGCAUACUUGUUUAUAAACUUGUAAUUGUUUCUUUC
Molecule: long non-coding RNA, 1452 nt
Organism: Rhododendron vialii
Lineage: Eukaryota; Viridiplantae; Streptophyta; Magnoliopsida; Ericales; Ericaceae
Exons: 3
Source: RefSeq, a predicted model, not a curated record